GAUAAACUCACUUUUCCAAAAUUGGUCAAGCAGAUCAUUUCUGCACUAUUUAGCCAACAGUCAAGGUUGAAAUCACCUUUGCUGAUAUGUGAGUCAACUAUUUUACUAAAUCAGUUUAAUUGGUUGUUUAAAAAUAAAAAGGAUUAGCCAGGCCCAGUGUCUAUGCUUCUGAUUUGAGCAAUGUGGAUACUGAGGCAGGAAGGGAGCUCAAGGCCAGCCCAGGCCUGAGGAUGCAGAUUAGCGCUCUGCAGGCUCAAACACUAGGGCCUUAGCAAGCCAAACAAGACAAAAACGGUCACCGUCACCCAGAAUAGAAGUACACAAAAUAACCCAAAACACCUGUGAAACUUAGAAUUUAGGGACAGAUCUUUAUAGGCCCAGAGGCACAUGUUGGUGUCGUGGCUGUGACCCCUCAAAGCCUCACACAGUCACAGGUGGGGCUUUCCAGAGGUGGCUGGGUCCAGAGUGUGUGUGCUGCUGGGAUCAGGGAGGUAUGAUUACUACCUCAGUCCACGGAUUGGUUCUGCUUAGUUCCAGUUAGGGUUAGAGUGUGAGUGCUGCACGCUGGGAGCCUGCAUGACAUGGAGGGGACAGAAGGAGGGUGAAUGUGCUCUCCCCUGCCUGCCUGCCAUGGCAGAUUCUCCUCUGUGAGGCCCCUCUGCUGCGCCACCCUGCCUGGGAGCUGGUGGCCGUGGACUGAAGCCUUUGCACACUGGGAGCCAAAGAAACCUUUUCUCCCUUAACUUGGAGGUGCUGGGUAUUUUGUCUCAGCACAAGAGAAGUAACUGAACAGAUGGUAAUCACACUGAUGGCCCUGGGAUGGGUGGUUUGGAGAACUGGCUGGAGACCACAGGCUGCCCUCUGAAUGGAGCAGAGGCAGAGGUGUGCAGGGAUUGCGGGACAGAUUUUUUUAAAAAAAGACAAUAAAAUAGACAAGGGGAAGGAAGGGAAGAUACAAGGGAUGGAAAGCAAAAAGGGAGGAAAAGAGAGGGAGAGAGGAAGCAAACACGCAGACUGUCCAAAACACUUUGAAAGUUAAAACAAUGAAAAAAAUUAAGAUAAUUCUCGGGAUGGGGCUGUAGCUGGGUUACUGGCACCUGGCGGGGUUCAAUCCUCACUGCUGCAGAAAAGCCACAGAGGUUGGUCAGCAGAGCAGGAACUGUACCCAGGCCCUGAGCUGCUGGAAUGGACGUCGCAGGGUUGGCACCUUGUUAUAUCUUGUGUCUGGAUGUCUCCCCCAAAGCCUCAUGUGGUCAUGGGGGGCAGGCUUUUCAGAGGUAGCUGAAUGUAGGGAGCAGUGUGACUGUCCUGCUGCUGUCUCCCCACCUCUCCCUCCUAUGGGCACAUAGUACGCCUGCCUACAUUAACCAUAAUCCUCUCCUACUUACGUCACGUACAGGGACGUGACGAUGACCCAUCAGAGAUCACCCCAUAGCCUCUUCCUGUCCCAUCGGCCCGCCCCCUGCCCUAUAAAAGCAGCGACCACUUUAUUAAGAAAUGAGACUUGAUCGGACUCCCUCGACUUGUCUGUGUCUCUCUGUCUCGGGCCCUGUCUGUGUUAAUCCCCGUUCCUUCUCCAGGAAACUGCCCCGCAGAUCUGGAUUGACCUGCAGGCCGGGUCAAGUGGCGCCCGUCAUGGGGCUCCUGGCACGAAGGGCUCAGCGAGGGAGCCGUCCUGAGACGCGAGCGUAAGAAGGGAACUAAGAGUUUUGUGACCAACGCUGCUGGGGAGCCUGCCGCGCCGCUCGAGUCACGAGGGCUCUAUUGAUGCAAAAGAUGGGAAAGAGUACGGCCUUUUCUGCUGGAACCUAAUCUCAGAGCUACUCACACAGCGCUGCCGAGACCCUCAAACUGAGAAAACAAUCACCCAAGGUGAAGCCUUUACGCACUUCCGCUUCGCCAACAUCGCUCCCUUCAGGAGACGAAUCUAAACCUUCUUGCCCCUCUGAUGAGUCAAAUGAUAUGUUAAAGCCCCAAGAGGCGGCCCGCUGCCAUCCGAGCCCCUACCACCCGAGGCCCGCCACAACUCUCUAUCUAAAAUGGCGCUUGCCUCACUUCCGCCACAUCAGGGUGGGCCCCUCCCCGAAAUGGUGUUUCCGGUGAUGGAAACAAAGGUACCUCCCCAAGAUGGCACCACACAGCUGCAAGACGGCGUGGGCGCUGUGCCGCUAGCUCCACAAGUCAUUAGGACCCAUAGGCCAUUCACAGCGGCAGCUUUAAAAGAAUUAAAGAUAGCAGUUGCCCAAUAUGGCCCUACAGCUGCUUUCACUCUUGCUGUUUUAAAUUCUCUGGCUGACGGCUGGCUCACACCUACAGAUUGGCAAAGAUUGGCCUGAGUGACUUUAUCGGGUGGGGAUAAUCUUUUGUGAAAAUCAGAAUAUACAAAAAAUUGCAAAGAGACUGCCAGGCACAAUACUCAAGCCAGCAAUGGGUAGGACCUUAAUAUGUUAAUAGUGGAAGAUGCCUAUGCAUGUAGAGAAGCUCAAAAGGAGUUUAAUCCAGCACUUUUCACUCAAAUUCAAACAGCAGCUACUCGAGCAUACAGAAAGAUGCCUGCAAAAGAUAAUAUGAGCUCCUCUCUCACUAGCAUUAAGCAAGGCCCAGAUGAACCCUUUUCAGAAUUUGUUGAUCGUUUGAUUACUGCUGCUAACAGAAUCUUUGGCCACGCUCUGCAGGCACUGAUUUUAUUAAACAGCUAGCUUUCGAAAAUGCCAACACCGCCUGCCAGGCCACUAUCAGACCUCAUAAAAAUAAAACAGACCUAAUAGGAUAUAUACACCUUUGCUGUGACAUUGGAACUGCUUGUCAGCAAGGCUUUGCUAUGGCUGCUGCCUUGCAAGGGUUUACAGUUAAACAGUUCUUAUCUCAAAAGCAUAAACAAAACAGUUUUACCUGUAGAGAGACUGGUCAUUUUACAAAAAAGACUCCAGGGAUAGAGAUUCCAAUGUGAAUUACUUUGACUCAUUUAACUGAUCAGAGUGAUAUUGUUCUGGUCUUUUGAGUUUAAUUUCAGCAUAUAUAAGGAUGGAGACAGCUGCUGAGAAAAAAAUGAGAGAUACCACGUUGUUUGUUACUGUCUUCCCCAAUGUCAGAUCUUCAAAACCUGAGGAGCCUUCAUCAUCGUGUGGUGGUUUGACUAGGUCUAUAAUAUGCAGUGUGUAUUUAAUGUGCAUAAAGAGGGGGACACCUAAAAAUAUUCUAUCUCAUGCCUUAUUCACCCUUAAUUUUUAAAAUUUUGAUGCUUCUGGACACUCAAUAGCCAUGCAUUUUUGGCAUACGGAAACACAAAAGCAAUUUGCUUCUGUACUAUGGAGAGACCCCCUGACUAACUUAUGGUAGGGCCUUGACCCCGUUCUCAUAUGGGGACGCGGUUCAGUGUGCAUAUACUCCUGCCAAGACAAAGAGGCUACAUGGCUCCCCAAAUGCCUUGUUAGGCAAAUUAAUGAGCCAAAUAAUAAUAACCCCCAAAAUGCCCAGGAGUGAACACAUACCCUGAGGCAACUUCUUGUGCUUCCUUACAGAAAAUGCCAAACCGAUGGAUUACUUGGUGCCUUCUUGAGAUCCUACUUGGACCACCCUUGACCAAUGGUGGAUUUGGACCUCCCAUCACAAAUGGCCUCUAACCCCUUCUCCAUGCUCUGGGGAGCGCUCUUCCCCUACCUAGCGCCCCUCCUGGGGCCCCUAGCUGCCCUGUUGCUUCUCCUCCCUGUGGGUCCUUGUAUUUUUCAGAGGAUUAUGGCGAUCAUUCAUAACCAGAUAGAGGCGUUUAUGACAAAGCCCUUUGAGCUAUACUAUCACUAGCUAGAGAUGGCAAAUUAAGAAACCUACAGGGAACAAGUGGCCCGUAUGAUGAUGUGGCCUAACUGCCCCAAGGCAAUGGACAGGCAGCCAGAGACGGGCAACUAGGACAUACAUAUUACACCACCAGCCACCUAACACAGGCACAGGACCAACUGCUGCCCUGCAAGCCCAUGACGGGUAAGGCCCGGUUGGGUUCAUGUAAUGAGGUCCUUGACCUAAGAGAGAUGCUGUCCUCACAGAGCCUGCCAUACUCCUGAUUAAAAAAUAUAGAAAGGGAGGAGAUGUAGGGAGCGGUGCGACAGCCCCGCUCCUGUUUCUCCACCUCUCCCUCCUAUGGGCACAUAGUGCGCCUGCCUACAUUAACCAUAAUCCUCUCCUACUUAUGUCACAUACAGGGACGUGACGAUGACCCUUCAGAGAUCACCCCAUAGCCUCUUCUUGUCCCAUCGGCCCACCCUUGCCCUAUAAAAGCAGCGACCACUUUAUUAAUAAAUGAGACUUGAUUGGA
Cavia porcellus (domestic guinea pig) is the source of this 4309-nucleotide long non-coding RNA. RefSeq lists it as uncharacterized. NCBI's taxonomy places the organism in Eukaryota, Metazoa, Chordata, Mammalia, Rodentia, Caviidae. The record is from RefSeq and is a predicted model, not a curated record. The transcript is spliced from 2 exons.